AGUGGCGGACGGGUGAGUAACGCGUGGGUAACCUGCCUCAUACAGGGGAUAACAAGUUAGAAAUGACUGCUAAUACCGCAUAAGACCACAGCACCGCAUGGUGCAGGGGUAAAAACUCCGGUGGUAUGAGAUGGACCCGCGUCUGAUUAGGUAGUUGGUGGGGUAACGGCCUACCAAGCCGACGAUCAGUAGCCGACCUGAGAGGGUGACCGGCCACAUUGGGACUGAGACACGGCCCAA
RNAcentral lists this ribosomal RNA (240 nucleotides) under uncultured bacterium. RNAcentral describes it as "partial 16S ribosomal RNA". It matches the Rfam family "Bacterial small subunit ribosomal RNA", at positions 94 to 334 of the family's 1533-position model. The record is from RNAcentral.